CGUAGGGCGCGAGCGUUGUCCGGAUUUAUUGGGCGUAAAGAGCUCGUAGGCGGCUUGUCGCGUCUGCCGUGUAAACCUUCGGCUUAACUGGGGGCUUGCGGUGGAUACGGGCAGGCUGGAGGCAGGUAGGGGAGAAUGGAAUUCCCGGUGUAGCGGUGAAAUGCGCAGAUAUCGGGAGGAACACCGGUGGCGAAGGCGGUUCUCUGGGCCUUGCCUGACGCUGAGGAGCGAAAGCGUGGGGAGCGAACAGGAUUAGAUACCCUGGUAGUCCAUGCUGUAAACGUUGGGCGCUAGGUGUGGGGUCUUUCCACGGAUUCCGUGCCGUAGCUAACGCAUUAAGCGCCCCGCCUGGGGAGUACGGCCGCAAGGCUA
Molecule: ribosomal RNA, 372 nt
Filed under: uncultured organism
Description: bacterial SSU rRNA
Rfam family: Bacterial small subunit ribosomal RNA
Source: RNAcentral